Long non-coding RNA from Limanda limanda (common dab), 1341 nucleotides. RefSeq lists it as uncharacterized. The record is from RefSeq and is a predicted model, not a curated record. The transcript is spliced from 3 exons. NCBI's taxonomy places the organism in Eukaryota, Metazoa, Chordata, Actinopteri, Pleuronectiformes, Pleuronectidae.
AAGGCAGGGUGACGGCGGCCCUGGAUGCGCAAGAUCACGGCAUGGUCACUUGCGCUCUCCCUAAAUCCAUUAGCAGUCCCGGCAUGAUCCCUUCCACCGUCUCCUUCUCCUCCUUCACUGCGCCAAGAAACCACGAUCCUCCGGGUCGAGGGACGGCGGGACAUCCAUGUCGAAGAGGUACGGAUCCAGUGGGGAGGGGGCUGAGAGAGAGAGAGAGAGAGAGAGAGCCCCAAAGCAUGGGCUGUGGGAGAGGAGCUGGAGAGGCUGGGUGAGGAGCCGGAGAGCGCCGAGCAGAGGAGACAGCAGCGAUAUGCACCCCCCCUAUGAGGAGCUCUGGGUUGCCUCCGCUCCCAUUAUACUGCACUGCUGCACAGGCUCUGACGUCGAGCCAAGGCGGACUGGUGGAAAGAUAGCAUUGGCACAGGGAAGGAAACCAUGGAAACGAGAAGCUGAUGCACUUUGAAUGUAAUGGACGAUUGAUCAGGUCACCUGCAGAGCUGGAAGCUGUCAAAGUUGAAAAUGCCGUGAUCAGUGAGUGACCCACCUCCUCAACUCUGGAUACACAGUCAUCCACUUCAAACAGUCCAACCAGAAGUGGUUUAAAUCUGUGCCAAGUAAACAUCGAAGAACAACUGUACACCCAUGAUGGUCUUUGCUUAUUCUGUCUCUGGAGCUAAGCUGGAAUGGGUGAACUCCUCAAACUUCCAGCGACGUCAAUCCAGCCCAUUCCUCUCAGGCCCCACGUAGCACGAGAAAAGGUCUGAUCAGGCAAAAGAAGUCCAGCACCUGUGCAACCUUUAAAUUGGCUCCUGCUCAGACUUAACUCACACGAUGUAUCUUAAAUUAAAUCUCUUUCACUCUCUGGAUCCAUUAUUUUUAAUUAGAUUUAGUUAAAGAUAGCAUCACAAUUUCAGACAAGAGUGAACAAGGCAGUAAAGCAUAAUGCUUCCUCGUCCUGGAGGGGCCAUAAGCAUUCGUAACAAAAGUUCAAAAUAAAAGCUGCGCAUCCAACGUGUACAAAUGAGGAUCGUUAUAAUAACAUGCGCCGUGUUUUGAAUACUACAGCAAAGGAAUCCCCGAUAUAUUCUCAGUGGUACGUACAGAGAGGGGCUUCCAACUUCUCUGCAUAUGAGUUGCUUCUGUCCGUCCACAUACUCACUAUGCUCCGAGCAGUCAUUCAUUAAACAUCUUUAUUUUAUUGCUUUGGAUUUUAUUUAUGGUUGUCAGCAUCAAUGGUAUUAUUUAUGCGAGAAAUACACAGUGAGAUGUGGAGGUUCUAAUAAUAAGCCCUUAAGUGUAAUAAAAAACAAAUAAGUAUAAAUAAAUUGAUGUAUUUUUUCC